Molecule: small nucleolar RNA, 104 nt
Organism: Lactuca sativa (garden lettuce)
Lineage: Eukaryota; Viridiplantae; Streptophyta; Magnoliopsida; Asterales; Asteraceae
Source: RefSeq, a predicted model, not a curated record
AGGUCAUGGUGUGGGCAAUACCUUAGCAGGCUCUUGUACCUCUCCCAAGCUUCAUACAGUGACUCUCCAACUUGUUCAAAGUUAGCAAUGGCCUUCUUCAAUUU